This 492-nucleotide ribosomal RNA is filed under the name uncultured bacterium. RNAcentral's name for it is "partial 16S ribosomal RNA". It matches the Rfam family "Bacterial small subunit ribosomal RNA", at positions 29 to 507 of the family's 1533-position model. The record is from RNAcentral.
AGUGAACGCUGGCGGUAGGCCUAACACAUGCAAGUCGAACGGCAGCACAUUAAGAGCUUGCUCUUACGGGUGGCGAGUGGCGGACGGGUGAGGAAUACAUCGGAAUCUACUUUUUCGUGGGGUAUAACGUAGGGAAACUUACGCUAAUACCUCAUACGACCUACGGGUGAAAGCAGGGGAUCUUCGGACCUUGCGCGAUUGAAUGAGCCGAUGUCGGAUUAGCUAGUUGGCGGGGUAAAGGCCCACCAAGGCGACGAUCCGUAGCUGGUCUGAGAGGAUGAUCAGCCACACUGGAACUGAGACACGGUCCAGACUCCUACGGGAGGCAGCAGUGGGGAAUAUUGGACAAUGGGCGCAAGCCUGAUCCAGCCAUACCGCGUGGGUGAAGAAGGCCUUCGGGUUGUAAAGCCCUUUUGUUGGGAAAGAAAAGCAGCAGGUUAAUACCCCGCUGUUCUGACGGUACCCAAAGAAUAAGCACCGGCUAACUUCGUG